Long non-coding RNA from Triticum aestivum (bread wheat), 2523 nucleotides. RefSeq lists it as uncharacterized. The transcript has 7 exons. The record is from RefSeq and is a predicted model, not a curated record. Lineage: Eukaryota; Viridiplantae; Streptophyta; Magnoliopsida; Poales; Poaceae.
UCCCCUCCGCCCGCGCCCCACGCUCGACCUCGAGAACAAGAAAAAUUUAAAACCCUAGCCGCCAAACCUUCUCCUCCCCACUCCAUCCUCCCCCACGCCGCCGCACCCUCUCCUCACACGCCUCAGCGCGCUCCCCUCCUCCUUGUGCCGCCGGCCUCCUUCCUUCUCCCCGCGCUAGAGCAGAGAUGCGCCUUCGUAUGGGUAGAAUCAGCAGCAGCAGUACCGUCUCCAUGGACGCGGCAGCGUGACGGCUCCCAGGCACGGAUCCCCUCCUCCGCCUCCAUCCUCCACCUCUUCGGUCGCCCUGUUCCAAUGUCCGGAGCAGCAGCAGCUGAUUUCCAUCUUCCAGUUCAUGUUCAUGGCCUUGUUGUGGUUGCACGGUGGUCCGUGGGGAACAGCAGCAAAUACCUUUGCUACAACCGAGGUCUUGACAGACCAGUCAGGGAGAGAUAGGUUCGGGGUUGUUAUGCUCUGUCCCCCGUGGUAAGUUUGCUAGGCAGCGGCUCACUCCUCGCUUGUUUUUUAGUUUUGACCAUGAUAUCAAAAUUACAUCUGGUCGAUGGUGUAAGUUUAGGCAGGUACCAUCUGCAUUUUGUGAAGAUUGCCAUCAUCUAAUUUUAUUGCGGCAUGAUGCAUAUGUAAUAAGGAAUUUGGUGUUUGAGAAGCAUCACCGGAAGUUGGUAUGCUAAUAUCUCAAUUGGCAAGAUAAAAGGACCACUACUUCUUACCUUCCAGUCAUUUUAAUAUUAUAGGAAUGCAAGUGUGUACUAAGUAGAAAAGAUGGUUGAAUUUAGUGCCCCUGCAUUUACAUGACUAGGUGUUAUCAGUUUUUGUUUCCUUUGAUGGCUCUGAGUACAAAUUGGAGCUUGUUGGGUACAAAAUGUUGCCAAGAUUAGUUUAGGAUCAGAAUUGUUGUCAUGUUGUCCAGAUAUUGCUCUAAGAGGUUCCUAGAAUUAGUUUAGGAUCAGAGUUAUUGUCAUGUUGUGUAGAUAUUGCUCUAAAGAUUUCGGACGUACUUUUCAGGUUGCUUGGUUAUAAUUUUUGCCCCCCAAAGGAAAGCUUUGGCCAGCUUCUUGCUAGAAUAUUAUCAUAAGGCUUGAUUAAUUUAGAACAUACUUGUGUCUUUUCACUCUUAUUUUAUUUUAAUAGUUAUCUGACAUGUUGUAAACUAUUUCUUUUAUUUUUCAGGAAGAAAUAGAAGUUGAGGGGAAGCAAUUGCAUGCUGGAAAAUCAGUUGGUGUUGUCAAUGUUGGUUUGAAGAAGAAAAGGACCGGCAAAUUGAUAGCUCAGGCACGUCAUACAAAGUACUUGUAUAUAGCAGAUUGCGAGGAUUCCCUUAUGUUGUAAGAUAAAAACCUGGUUAUAUGUUGCAUCUCAAAAUCAAGAUGUUGAUUCAAGAAGAGAAAGGAGUUGUCAGUGUGCCGUGCCAGGGAGGUGGAUGGGCUCGUCUCCACUGCGUUGUGAGCGCCGCCGCCGCCUCUGCAACCACCUUGCUCUGCAUAGUAGCAUGUGUGAGGAAUCGGGGACAAAGCGACCACAAGCAGAUGACGUCGGCGGCAACGGCAAUACGCAUGGUGCGCGAAGCCUGGUAAGAUGGGCGCGGCCUCCCCACAGGCGUUUCAGGAUGGCGUGCCCGGCGGCUCGGAACACGCGUGCCCGGCGCACAUGAGGUGUGUCCUGGAGCAGCACGCCGGCGGCAACGUGCACCGUGAGGUCCCGGAGCAGCCCAACCAGUACAGGAGGAACCCUGCCAUUCCAUCCUCACCUCUACUCAUAGCUUCAACAUUUGGCCCACUCUGGUUUUUGGUAAUGCUUUCUUGAGAGUGGAGUAGUCAUGGGCCUUUUAUAGAGACCUUGGUGAAGAACUUGUCAGUUGUCACUGCAAUUUAGUCAAAUGGGCGUUGAGAUUGAAGUUUUUUCUUUUGUUGACUUUCUGAUAAGUUACAACAACAUCGACAAGGUUAUGUGGGAGCCUUUUAUAGAGCCCUCAUGUUUUCAUUUGAAUAUACUUCGAAAAUGUAGAUUGACAAUAAAGGUACGAGGUCCAUUGCUAAUGAAUAAGUAGUCUUGCUGAAGGUGAUAAAUCUCCAAAUUGAUGGAUAAGCCGAAGGUGAUAUUCAAGAGAUCCAUUUCUAAUGAAUAAGUAGUCUUGCUGAAGUUGAUAAAUAUCCAAACUGAUGGAUAGGCCGAAGGUGAUAUUCAACCUUUUUUAUACUGUAGUCGUGCUGAAGUGAAAGCAUCUGUGGAUGCAUGUAUACAUGCUUUUCAAUCUUUCUUUGUUGUCAAACUGUGGCAUGUAAAGUAUGGGAGGACCAAGUGAUUAUAAACUGUGUCAAACCCAUGUCUUUACAUGAUUUUUCUAACAUGGAAGUAGUCACUUCCUGGAUACUGGAGUAUGUACAUAGAGCUGGAACGCUUAUCGCCUCAUGAUUUGCUAGAGUAAAAUCAAGCAUGAGACAUGUGUUAGGAUGAUGGAUUUCGUUAUUAAAAAUAAGGAUGUAAUAUAAGAGCACUUGGAAUGCA